Molecule: ribosomal RNA, 459 nt
Filed under: Loxoblemmus equestris
Lineage: Eukaryota; Metazoa; Arthropoda; Insecta; Orthoptera; Gryllidae
Description: partial 16S ribosomal RNA
Rfam family: Bacterial large subunit ribosomal RNA
Source: RNAcentral
CCCUGUUUAUCAAAAACAUGUCUUCUUGCUAUUGAUUUGAAGUCGUGCCUGCCCAGUGAGGAGUUUAACGGCCGCGGUAUUUUGACCGUGCAAAGGUAGCAUAAUCAUUAGUCUUUUAAUUGGGGGCUGGAAUGAAUGGUUUGACGAAACAAUAACUGUCUCAAUAUUAUUGAUUGAAUUUUAUUUUUAAGUUAAAAAGCUUAAAUGGGAAUGGGGGACGAGAAGACCCUAUAGAUCUUUAUAAUAUACUUAUAAUUAAAUUGUUGGUUGUUAUUUAUUUAAUUUUGAGUAUAUUAUUUCGUUGGGGUGAUGAGAGAAUAAAUAAGCUUCUAUUUUUUUAAACUAUGAUGAUUGGUUUAUAUGAUCCUAUGUUAUGGAAUUGAGAGUAAGAUACCUUAGGGAUAACAGCGUAAUUUUAUUGGAGAGUUCAUAUCGAUAAUAAAGAUUGCGACCUCGAUG